UUAUUUCACACUUUUAGAUUUAGUGUUUUACUUUGCAAUUUUUCAUUCUUAGUGUGCCACUUGGAUCCAUUCUGUGUACAUGGAUUACACCUACCUUUGCUUAUGUUACAUAGGUUACCAUGUAUCCCAAAAAGAACAAAGUAAGAUACUCUUGAUGGUAGAGAUCUUAACUUGGUAUUCUUAUCAAAGUUGUAAAAAAAAAAAAAAAAAA
This 211-nucleotide unclassified non-coding RNA is filed under the name Hevea brasiliensis (rubber tree). The record is from RNAcentral. Lineage: Eukaryota; Viridiplantae; Streptophyta; Magnoliopsida; Malpighiales; Euphorbiaceae.